This 345-nucleotide unclassified non-coding RNA is filed under the name soil metagenome. Its description in RNAcentral is "partial contains 5.8S ribosomal RNA, internal transcribed spacer 2, and large subunit ribosomal RNA". The stretch from base 1 to 120 matches the Rfam family "5.8S ribosomal RNA", at positions 35 to 154 of the family's 154-position model. The record is from RNAcentral.
GAUGAAGAACGUAGCGAAAUGCGAUACGUAAUGUGAAUUGCAGAAUUCAGUGAAUCAUCGAGUCUUUGAACGCACAUUGCGCCCCCUGGUAUUCCGGGGGGCAUGCCUGUCCGAGCGUCAUUGCUGCCCUCAAGCUCGGCUUGUGUGUUGGGCCUCCGUCCUCCUCCCGGGGGACGGGCCCGAAAGGCAGCGGCGGCACCGCGUCCGGUCCUCGAGCGUAUGGGGCUUCGUCACCCGCUCUUGUAGGCCCGGCCGGCGCUUGCCGACACAUCAAUCUUUUUUCCAGGUUGACCUCGGAUCAGGUAGGGAUACCCGCUGAACUUAAGCAUAUCAAUAAGCGGAGGA